This 954-nucleotide long non-coding RNA is filed under the name Bos indicus x Bos taurus (hybrid cattle). Its description in RNAcentral is "lncRNA (ENSBIXG00000024883.1)". The record is from RNAcentral. Lineage: Eukaryota; Metazoa; Chordata; Mammalia; Artiodactyla; Bovidae.
ACGAAGAUGACUCAUGGUCACACUUUCUGUGUAUGCGCUCUGCUAUUAGGAAGAAUCAAAAGACAGACCUAUUUCUAUUUGUUCUUAAGCUUAGAAAUACAGUUUAGAAUUUCUUAAUUUUUUAAAACCCUUUAAGAAGGACAAUAUAAAUAGCAUUUGCUGAAAUUUACUGAAAAGAACCUUGAGCUAGGGUUUUUCUGAACCUCAAGUUCAAGAGUGGAAAUAGAAGACAGUAAUCACUCUGGGCAAAGGGACCUCUUGAGCAGUCAUCCAACCCAUCCCUUCGGAUUAUUCAAGCCUGACAGAAAGAAGUGAAGCAGCACAGACCGAGAAAGGCCUGGUGACCUGGAGAUCAGACCUCUGAGAGAUGAGAGUCUGGGUUAUCCCCAAAAGUUUCUCCAGGUAAAUAUGCCCAUCAGGAUCAUGAAGGAGCUUCUCCGAGAAAGUGGAUCUGAGCUAUGCCAAGAGUGGAGCUAAGCCAUCCUAUCUCUAUGGAUGCUGGGGUCAACAGAGCCAGAUCCAGAUUGUGGCUACCAUCUCCUGCUUUAUAAGCCCUGCUGCUGCUGCUGCUGCUGCUGCUGCUAAGUCGCUUCAGUCGUGUCCAACUCUGUGCGACCCCAUAGACGGCAGCCCACCAGGCUCCCCCGUCCCUGGAAUUCUCCAGGCAAGAACACUGGAGUGGGUUGCCAUUUCCUUCUCCAGUGCAUGAAAAGUGAAAAGUAAAAGUGAAGUCACUUAGUCGUUUCCAACUCUUAACGACCCCAUAGACUGCAGCCCACCAGGCUCCUCUGUCCAUGGGAUUCUCCAGGCAAGAGCACUGGAGUGGGGUGCCAUUUCCUUCUCCAUUAUAAGCCCUAGUUUUACCCAUUUCAGUUGUUCAGUCACUCAGUCACGUCCAGCUCAUUGUGACACCAUGGGCUGCAGCAUGUCAGACUUCCCUGUCCUUCACAAUCC